This 460-nucleotide unclassified non-coding RNA is filed under the name Hevea brasiliensis (rubber tree). The record is from RNAcentral. Lineage: Eukaryota; Viridiplantae; Streptophyta; Magnoliopsida; Malpighiales; Euphorbiaceae.
GUCUGGUCGGAUUAUACAGUUCUCUGAGAAACCGACGGGUUCCGAUUUGGAAGCGAUGAAAGCUGACACCACAUCUCUACGACUAUCUUAUCAAGAAGCAAAAAAAUAUCCAUAUAUUGCAUCAAUGGGAGUUUAUGUCUUUAGAAGGGAUGUUCUUCUAAAGCUUCUGAAGUGGAGCUAUCCCAAAUCGAAUGACUUUGGAUCAGAGAUCCUUCCAUCAGCCGUAAAGGAGCACAAUGUUCAGGCAUACAUAUUUAAUGAUUACUGGGAGGACAUCGGAAAACUUAAUUCUUUCUUUAAUGCAAAUUUGGCGCUUACUGACCAGCCACCUAAAUUCGAGUUUUAUGAUCCAAAGACGCCUUUCUUUACAUCACCUCGCUUUUUACCUCCAACCAAAGUUGAAAAAUGCAGGAUAUUGAAUGCGAUUAUAUCGCAUGGGUGCUUCUUGCGUGAAUGUGGU